UAGGGAAUCUUCCGCAAUGGGCGAAAGCCUGACGGAGCAACGCCGCGUGAGUGAUGAAGGUCUUCGGAUCGUAAAACUCUGUUAUUAGGGAAGAACAAAUGUGUUAGUAACUAUGCAUGUCUUGACGGUACCUAAUCAGAAAGCCACGGCUAACUACGUGCCAGCAGCCGCGGUAAUACGUAGGUGGCAAGCGUUAUCCGGAAUUAUUGGGCGUAAAGCGCGCGCAGGCGGUUUUUUAAGUCUGGUGUGAAAGCCCACGGCUCAACCGUGGAGAGUCGUUUGAGACUGGAAAACUUGAGUGCGGAAGAGGAAAGUGGAAUUCCACGUGUAGCAGUGAAAUGCGCAGAGAUAUGGAGGAACACCAGUGGCGAAGGCGACUUUCUGGUCUGUAACUGACGCUGAUGUGCGAAAGCGUGGGGAUCAAACAGG
This 429-nucleotide ribosomal RNA is filed under the name Actinomycetes bacterium. RNAcentral's name for it is "Actinobacteria bacterium partial 16S ribosomal RNA". It matches the Rfam family "Bacterial small subunit ribosomal RNA", at positions 355 to 776 of the family's 1533-position model. Lineage: Bacteria; Bacillati; Actinomycetota; Actinomycetes. The record is from RNAcentral.